RNAcentral lists this ribosomal RNA (464 nucleotides) under uncultured bacterium. Its description in RNAcentral is "partial 16S ribosomal RNA". It matches the Rfam family "Bacterial small subunit ribosomal RNA", at positions 29 to 507 of the family's 1533-position model. The record is from RNAcentral.
ACGAACGCUGGCGGCGUGCUUAACACAUGCCAGUCGUACGGUAAGGCCCUUUCGGGGGUACACGAGUGGCGAACGGGUGAGUAACACGUGAGUAACCUGCCCACAACUUUGGGAUAACGCUAGGAAACUGGUGCUAAUACUGGAUAUGUGCCCCUGCUGCAUGGUGGGGGUUGGAAAGCUCCGGCGGUUGUGGAUGGACUCGCGGCCUAUCAGCUUGUUGGUGGGGUAGUGGCCUACCAAGGCGGCGACGGGUAGCCGGCCUGAGAGGGUGACCGGCCACAUUGGGACUGAGAUACGGCCCAGACUCCUACGGGAGGCAGCAGUGGGGAAUAUUGCACAAUGGGCGCAAGCCUGAUGCAGCAACGCCGCGUGCGGGAUGACGGCCUUCGGGUUGUAAACCGCUUUCAGCAGGGACGAAGCUUUUUGUGACGGUACCUGCAGAAGAAGCACCGGCUAACUACGUG